Molecule: long non-coding RNA, 359 nt
Organism: Pan paniscus (pygmy chimpanzee)
Lineage: Eukaryota; Metazoa; Chordata; Mammalia; Primates; Hominidae
Source: Ensembl
GCUCCCGCUCCGCUGGCGGCCGGGGAAGUUCCCACCAAAGGAGUCAGGCCGCUUUGUGUGUGCUUUCGGGGCCACCGGCCCUGGUUCUCCUCCUCCCUCCCCGCUCUCCCUGCGCCUUCGCCCCAGACAAUCAGGCUUGCCGGAGGACGCCCCCUGGGGACCCCGAGGGCGGGGUCGUUGAACGGCCGCCAGGUUCUCACAUUCAGAAUUCUCCUGCCACCAAAGAGAACCUGAAGUUCAUUUAUAAGUUGACGAGCGGGAUACCUACACUGUGUCCCUUUGCAAGACGCCAGUUAGAAAAUAACCCAAGUUGUGACCAGGAUCCACCGUUCCUGUCUCCAACUGAAACGGGGCAGUAA